AUUGAACGCUGGCGGCAGGCCUAACACAUGCAAGUCGAGCGAGCGGCGGACGGGUGAGUAAUGUCUGGGAAACUGCCUGCUGGAGGGGGAUAACUACUGGAAACGGUAGCUAAUACCGCAUACCAUCUGAUUUGCCCAGAUGGGAUUAGUUAGUAGGUGGGGUAAAGGCUCACCUAGGCGACGCUCCCUAGCUGUCCUGAGAGGAUGACCAGCCGCACUGGAACUGAGACACGGGCCAGACUCCUACGGGAGGCAGCAGUGGGGAAUAUUGCACAAUGGGCGCAAGCCUGAUGCAGCCAUGCCGCGUGUGUGAAGAAGGCCUUCGGGUUGUAAGGCACUUUCAGCGGAGAGGCGUUACCCGCAGAAGAAGCACCGGCUAACUCCGUGCCAGCAGCCGCGGUAAUUC
RNAcentral lists this ribosomal RNA (406 nucleotides) under uncultured bacterium. RNAcentral's name for it is "partial 16S ribosomal RNA". It matches the Rfam family "Bacterial small subunit ribosomal RNA", at positions 30 to 526 of the family's 1533-position model. The record is from RNAcentral.